AAAUUGAAGAGUUUGAUCAUGGCUCAGAUUGAACGCUGGCGGCAGGCCUAACACAUGCAAGUCGAACGGUAACAGGAAGCAGCUUGCUGCUUCGCUGACGAGUGGCGGACGGGUGAGUAAUGUCUGGGAAACUGCCUGAUGGAGGGGGAUAACUACUGGAAACGGUGGCUAAUACCGCAUAACGUCGCAAGACCAAAGAGGGGGACCUUCGGGCCUCUUGCCAUCAGAUGUGCCCAGAUGGGAUUAGCUUGUUGGUGAGGUAACGGCUCACCAAGGCGACGAUCCCUAGCUGGUCUGAGAGGAUGACCAGCCACACUGGAACUGAGACACGGUCCAGACUCCUACGGGAGGCAGCAGUGGGGAAUAUUGCACAAUGGGCGCAAGCCUGAUGCAGCCAUGCCGCGUGUAUGAAGAAGGCCUUCGGGUUGUAAAGUACUUUCAGCGGGGAGGAAGGUGUUGCGGUUAAUAACCGCAGCAAUUGACGUUACCCGCAGAAGAAGCACCGGCUAACUCCGUGCCAGCAGCCGCGGUAAUACGGAGGGUGCAAGCGUUAAUCGGAAUUACUGGGCGUAAAGCGCACGCAGGCGGUCUGUCAAGUCGGAUGUGAAAUC
Molecule: ribosomal RNA, 611 nt
Filed under: Salmonella enterica subsp. enterica serovar Infantis
Lineage: Bacteria; Pseudomonadati; Pseudomonadota; Gammaproteobacteria; Enterobacterales; Enterobacteriaceae
Also listed under: 1 other name
Description: bacterial SSU rRNA
Rfam family: Bacterial small subunit ribosomal RNA
Source: RNAcentral